Mytilus californianus (California mussel) is the source of this 614-nucleotide long non-coding RNA. RefSeq lists it as uncharacterized. Lineage: Eukaryota; Metazoa; Mollusca; Bivalvia; Mytilida; Mytilidae. The record is from RefSeq and is a predicted model, not a curated record. The transcript is spliced from 3 exons.
AUUGCUUCUGGUUACACGUCUCCGUCAAAGGUCCAGAUAAAUGUGCAUGCUUGGAAACGGUUUUCAUUAUAAAUUCAGGAUACAGAACUUGCUUUGCUAAUUUUAUUAUUUCUUACAUUUUUUUCUGCGAGAAUACUUCACCUGUAUACAACUGGAAAAACGUUACGAUGGAAAAGGAACUAAUAAGACAGGAAUAAUUUCAACAACAGAUAGUACAUGUAAAGAACACUCUACCCGCUGAAGAAUGUACAAAAUAAAUAACAUAUUUAUGGCAAGACAAAAGAUGAAAAGAGAGCUAAUGCAAUCGUUGCAUAUGGACACACGAGAACCAGCAAAUCCAGUGUUAUCCAACACACUUUCAAAAAUUAUCGCCGAUUGAACAGAGUCGACCAUAAUGCAAAUGCCUAAAGUCAAAGACGAAUGCAUAACAUUUAUACAUUGGAUUGUAUCGAAUGUGAUUUCCUCAAGAGUUCUUAAUAACAUUCUGUAAUCUUUGACUAAAACAAAAUUAUUAGAAAAUAGAUUAAUAUCUUAUUAAUUAAAUAUUUUACAGCCAAAAGCCAUCUUGGUAUAAUUGGAAACAACUAUUGCUAUGAAUAAAACGUACUAAUUCG